GAAGAAUGACUUUCAAUAGGUUAUUUUAUCAAUUUUUGUUUUACUCUAUUGAACCUGUUGCAUGUCAGAAUUCCAGGGAUACGUCGAGUGCCAACAAGUUGGAUAGGUUUAUUGUGUUUCUAAUGGUAUUCUACAGGUUUUUCUGGAAACUAAUUCCCUACUAUUGAAGAAAAUCUUGGAAAGGGCUGGGAAAUUCCAUGGAGUAUUUAUUCUCGCUGUGGAAUUUAUUUUCCAACUUUUAAGAGUCAUGCCAGGUUCAUAUUUCACACACACACAUAUAUAUAUAUAUAUAUAUAUAUAUAUAGGGAAGGGAAUGCAUUAGCUGACCAUUUUGCAAAUCAGGCAUUUCAUAUGGCGGGUAAGCUGGUAUAUAGCUCGUUUGGAGACCUACAUUUACAUGGAAAAAGACUUCUUAAUCUUGACAAGCAACAAUGUUCGACACUCAUGAUCAAGACAAGAUGAAUAAACAGAUGCGACUGAAGAAUUUGCACGUGCAGAUGAGUAGUAGAGUGAUACUUCUUUUCAAUUUAAUAUAUUGGUAUGGUGCUAUAUUCUCAGAACGGUAGCUAUGUCCAGACAUGGUGAUAGACGUACACUUGACAUGCUCAACCACUUAGUUCAUAGAUUCACAUUGAGUAAUGUCAGAUUAGAUCCUAAGCUGGUUCAAGGUUAUUUGAAUUUUGCAAGUUCCUAGUUUAUUCAUGAUGUAAAAGAAAUUAUUUGGCAUUGUUAUUAAUAAAAUUAGCCACUACGUACCUGCCUAGUGGGAUAUUCGAUAAAAAAAAUGAUGGAAAAACACUGUUAGAUCUCAUAGACUUAGAAAAGGAGACACUUUUGCUAUUUGGACUAUCAUAAGUUUCAAUAAAAAGCCUUAGUGCUGGAUUUUAAAAACAGUUAUCCUUUAUUAUAAAAAAUGCAAUUUUUGUGUAAUUUUAGCUGUUUUAUAUGAGACAUGCUAUGUUUUAUUAUCUUUUUACAGAUUUCCCUGAAAUCUCACUAGUUGAAUAAUGAUUGAGAGAUUGACUGAAGGGGUAACUUCACAGCUGUGGCCUAGUAAUAAGAAUUUUUGCCGAUUCCUUUAGCUCAGCAUUGCUCUAAAUACAGUGAUAAUGAUGAUUAUGAAGUGUUUUUUUGGGUAAAAUUCAUAGUUCAGUGGAUGUUGUGAAUAUAAUUUUUAUGAUCUCCUUUGCCUUGUAUAUUGCAGGUAUGGUGGAAUCUAUGUUGACUCUGACAUCAUAGUGUUAAACAUUGUCCUCACUUAAUAAUACUGUUGCAUUUGAGAAUGACCUACGUGGAACUCUGAAUGGUGCUGUAAUGGCAUUUAGAAAGCACAGGUAAUUAUUUCUAUGCCUGUUCUCCUCUUCUCUCACUCAAUAUAAAAUCUCAUUUAAGACUUUCAUAUAUCAUCAAAACUACAUAUAUUAAGAAACAAUUUACUUCGUACAAUCCAAGAUUCAGAAGAUUUAAGUACUUGUGCAAAAUUGAAAGCUUAAUACAUCUGAAAUAUGUAUGUAAUCAACCAACAAUCGUACAUGAGCGGAUGGUUUGUUUCCACCUAGUGACAAUUACUGACAAAUUGAAGCCUUAUUUUUCUAAGUGUUGAAAGAGCAUCUUCCAUGCUAUUUCUUGCAUCAGGUUUCGCUAAAGUGCAACUCAAGGCUAAUUCCAUGAUAGAUACCAUACACUGCAUCUUUGUGUCGGUUUUUUCAUUCCCUGCCCGUACCAAAUUAGCAUCUACCACCUUAUGAAUUUCACUUGGAAAAGAAUUACUAACCCCAACAUCGUAUGCUCAAGUCUCCGGUAAAUGCUUCAUCACUUGGUCUCAUUCUUGUAAGCGUCUCCAUCAUCAUAAUGCCAAAACUAUAAACAUCGCAGCUCAUGGAUGCUAUUCCAUCUUGUCCAUACUCUGCAAUCAUGGUCGAAUAUGAUAAGAAAAGCUUCCUAGUUAUGGAGGAAUAUGCUAAAACUUUGAGUAUCAAACUAUUUCCCGGAGGAAAGAACUAUUUUGGGUAUUCUAAGGAUAUGAAGAAACUUUAAAAAGUUGUAUUACCCGGAGCAAUGUAUCCAAUGGUUGCAAUAGUCCUUGUUUGGACAGAAUUCUCCUUUGCACCUAGCAAUUUGGCAAUGCCAAAAUCACUGACAUGGCCAAUCAUGUCUUGAUCUAGCAAGACAUUGCUUGGCUUCAAGUCACAAUGCACCACAGGUGUUGAAUACCCAUUGUGGAGAUAGUCUAAUGCUGCAGCCACAUCUAUCAUUAUAUUCAAUCGCUGUAAUAAGUCCAAGAAUAAGUUGUGAGAGUAUAACCAUUUAUCAAGUGUCCCAUUGGGCAUGUAUUCCAAAAUUAGGGCUUUGAAAUCAAGGUUGGAGCAGCUGGUGAUGACUUUGGCCAGAUUUCUGUGGCGAAGGUUCCGAAGCAUCUCACAUUCUGUGUCAAAACUUUUGAAUGCACCCUCCAAUUGCACUUUGAAUACCUUUGCUGCCAAAAGAGUACCAUCCUUUAGUGUCCCUUUGUAGACCAUGCUGAAACUCCCAUUACCAAGCAAGUUGCUUUCAUCGAAUCCUUCGGUUGCUUGUUCAAGUUCAUAAUAGGAAAUUCUUUCAUGUCCUUUUAAAUUCACCAGAGGCGAAUCUGCUUGACUUGCAUUCUUCUUCAUCUUUCGCAACCUCAAAAAUACAUAAAAGAGGGCUAAUGCAAUAGAUACUAGACCCACUCCCAAAACGAUAGACAAAACCAAAAUUUUCUUUUUCCUCCUGGGAGAUUUGGUGACGCAUGGUGGCACGUGAAAUUUAGACUCACCGCAAAGUGCAUCAUUGGCCAAGAAAGAUUGACUUUUGGCAUUUGCGAAAGGACCACCGCUGGGAAUUUCUCCACUAAGUUUGUUGAACGAGAAGUUCAGGUACUUGAGAUACACAAGAGCUUCUAAUGACUUUGGAAUUUCACCAGUAAGAUUGUUAUAGCACAAGUCCAAAAAUUCCAAGGCGAACAUUUUUCCAAAUGAAUUUGGAAUAGGCCCAUCUAAUCUAUUAUAUGCUAGAGAAAGUUUGAUCAAUCUAUCCAGACCCACUAGAGUGUUAGGGAUCUCACCAGAAAAAUUAUUUUUGGAUAGAUCAAUGAGUGUUGCAGCCUUUAUAUUUCCAAACUCCAGAGGAAUUUUCCCACUUAAUAAAUUGGAUGUAACGUUGAGUUCUACGAGAUCUUGUAGGCUUCCUAAACUUGCAGGUAAUUUUGAAUUCAGCCUGUUAUAAGCUAGAUAAAGAUUCCUCAAACUGGUGAUGUUCCCUAAGCAUGGAGGCACUGAACCAGAAAGCUGAUUUUCCGACAAGUCUAAUGCACCAAGAUUCUUUAAAGUGCAAAUAACAUCUGGUAUGGUUCCUUCUAUCUUGUUUCUUUGUAGGUAAAGUUGUUGUAGAUUCAACAUGCGUUGGAUAGUUUUUGGAAUAUGUCCAGUCAACUCAUUGUUAAGCAUAUUUAUCCUUGUCACUCCAGUAAGAUUACCAAUUUCUUCAGGAAUAAUUCCCUUUAGUUUACAAGCAUAGCUUUCAAAAAUGUGCAGAGAGUCGGAGAAAUUUCCAACAAAUGUAGGAAAAAACCCAUGAAGGGGAUUCUCAGAUAAACCUAUUACUCUUAGUUUCCUACAGUUUGACAAUGAUGUCAAGAAGCUCAAUGUUGAAUCGCUGUAAAAAUUAUUAUACUGCAAGUUCAAAAACUCAAGAUGUUCUAAGUUACCAAGUGAUUUAAGAAUUGGACCUGUGAAACUGUUGGCACUGAGAUCAAGUUUUCUGAGUCUUGAAGAAUUUGAGAUAGAAGCAGGAAUAAAGCCACUCAGAUUAUUCGUCGCACAAUUGAAUUCUACAAGGCUGGGCAUUCUAUGGCCUAAAUCUGAAGGUAGAGUACCUAAAAGCCUGUUUCCAUCAAAUGAUAGGUACUGCAUUGCUGACAUGUUGAAAAUGCUUGUAGGGAUGGAACCAAUAAAUUCAUUCCCGAAUAAUCCCAGCAACUGUAGUUUCUUAAGAUUACCUAGCUCCACUGGUAUCUCUCCUAUCAAGUGAUCAAGGGAAAUAUAUGAGUACCAAUCUUAGCGGAAAUGAGAAUAUUAUAUUUGAGAUUUAUUAUAAGGAAAUAUCAUAUUACCUUCCAAAUGCAUAUCUCCAAGAUAUAAUUCUGUAAGAGCUGUUAAGUUGGCUAUCUCUUUUGGCACAGCUCCAAUGAAAUCAUUGCCAGACAAUGACAACAUUUGAAGCUUUCUGCAUUUUUCUAAGUUUGGUGGAAUAAUGCCAUCUAGAUAGUUGUAUGAGAUGCCAAACUUUUCCAAGUUUGGAAGGUGGUCACAUAUCGCUGUUGGAAGCUUACCAGUAAGAUUGUUGUAGGUGAGACCAAUCUUUUGCAUUGAUGUAAUGUUAUAGAUUGAUGGCGGUAUAGAGCCAGUGAGCCGGUUGAAUUGCAGGUUUAUGAAAGUCAUAUGACGAAGAUCACCGAGUACUCGAGGGAUCACUCCUUCGAGAAAGUUUUCCUUUAGCGUCAACACCUCCAGCUUUGUUACAUUGGAAAGGGAAGAUGGAAUUUUCCCUGAAAAUUGGUUGCUCGAAAGGUACAUGUAUCGGACGUUAGAUAACGAACUUAAAAAUGGUGGGAUGGCACCAGUGAAGUUAUUGAUUGUGACAUCAAUCAGUUUCAACCUCUGCAAAUGAGCCAAUUCUUCUGGCAACUCCCCAUGGGAAGUGUUGUUACUGAUGUCGAGAGAAACAAGAAAUGAGAGGUUUCCUAGAUGCGGAGGAAUGGUACCAUGAAGUUGCAUGCUAGAAAUGUCUAAAGCUGUGACUCGAUGGUGGCGAGAGGUGCAAGUGAUGCCAAUCCAGCUACAAACUGGGCUGGAAGAAGACCAGUUGCUUUGUAACAAGUUAUUAGGAUGAGAAGAAAUGUGAGAUUUCAGGGAAAGAAGAGCUGCUUCAUCAGUUUUAAUGUUGGGAACAGUAGCCAGUGAAGUAUGGUGAUGCAACAGAAUGAAAACUGCAAGAGCAAACAAGAGAUGGCAACUUCUGCCCAUAACUAUAGCAUGCAUUUUUAUGUUUUUCCUAAAACAACUAUGGAUAUGGCAAAGCAUUAAUCUUAGAUUGUCUAUUUAUGGAAGUGGUCCAGCCCUUCCCCGCGCAUAGCGAAAGCUUAGUGCACGGAAGCACAGAAAUGCCCUUUUUGUCUAUUUAUAGAAGUGGGCUACAGGCACAUUUCUCUUUUGCCUUAUUGAGAUGUGCCAAAAACGUCAACCCCGGAUGCCCUUUCUUUUUCUGUGGCACUAAAUUUAUAAGUUGACUAUUUAAUGAUUUCAAACUCAUGAUUAAGACUUAAAGAGUGUCAAUUUUAUGAGUAUUAUUGCAAGCUGUAUUAGUGAAAGUCGGUCAACUUGUACUGUGUGGGCUGCUGAUAGUUGAGGACUAGAAAACUGCAAUAUGGCAUUGAACGACCCUUAUCAUUUGUGCAACAACCCACUAGUCAUUACAACGUAUAGGGAAAAAUUUUAUUUUGUGCUUCACACAACUGACGCUAGUUAUAUGAGACCUCUUUUCUGUCUCACAACCUUGUGGUCCCAGAAUUUUGUGGACCCAAAUAUGUAAGAUAUGAGUUCACAAAUGUGUGUAAUAAAAAAAUGUUUCUAAUGUCAGUUGUGUGACACACAAUAAAAUCACUCACGUACAGCAAACUAAUACUUGUACAACUUAAUUGUGCAAAAGAAGAUAAAAGAUGAAACAGAUGGGAUGAUUUUGACAAAUAGCCACUUUUUAGGCUGCUAAUGUAGAAUUAUUUGUUUGGUUUACAUCAACCUUGCAAACCAUCUUUCCAAUUGUUGAAUAACUUGAUUAUUUACACAUUAGUCUUCAAAAUAUAUGAGCAUCUGAAACAAACUACACAUAGACAAUUCUCUUUCAUAGGUAUGACAAUGGGUCCUUGCAGAUGACCGGGCGAGGCGAGUUUAGACACAUGCAGGGCGGUGUUGGUUCACACAGCAUAUGAGACGAAAACGCUGUACUAGUCAGCUAGAUAAGUUCUUCAUGUACGAAUCUGGACACCAUCAUAGAGUUUACUUGUAUAAGUUUUGAAUUCCAUGACACUGUAUUGGACAGAUGGUUUUGCCUUUUCCUAAAAAAAAAUGGAUAUGGCACAACAUUGAUCUUAGUCUAUAGGGAUGGCGAUGAGGCAGUGCGAGUGCAGGGUGGUGCAGGUUCAAAUCCCGACACAAAAUUAAGAAAGAGAUGAAUCUAUUGACCAAAAUAACAUAUCUUUCUUAGUCUUCUUUCCCGCAAUGGAAUGAGCACAACAAAGUACUAAUACCACCAUUAAAAGAAAAAAAACUAAAAGAAGAUAUCUUUCGAAAAAUAUUUAUUUCAAGGGUAUAUCUUAUAAUUUUUAUUACCCAAAAUGUCAUAUCUUUCUUAGGCUUCCUUCCCCCAAUGGAAUGAGCACAACAAAGUACUAAUACCACCAUUUAAAGAAAAAAAAACUAAAAGAAGAAGUGCCAAAGUACAAGUUACAUCAUAAUCUACAUUGUAUCUCUAACAAAUCUCAUAAACCCGUCAAGGUUGGGAGGAGGUUGUGUUGGUGGUGGUGGAAAAGAAUGUUGUUCAUCACCACUUCCGGGCGAAGCCGAAUCCUCCGCCAAGUUCCGCUAUCAUUUCUUCAUAAACUUCAUCUAUCGACAGUUGUGAUUCUACAAUUCCAAAGUUUCUUCUUUCCGCGCGGAUCCAAUCUCUAAAAAGUACCGAUUUUUCCAAGCUAUCCCCCAUCGACGCUCUACGAUCACCUAUUUGCAGUCUUGCUUGACUGAAAGCGCUCUCCGAGUCAACAGUUGAAGCUUGAAUUAAUUAAAUAUCCCGAGACAUCCUUGCAAGAACCGAAAAGUGUUUUUCCCUUGGCUUCCACCAUUCCAAAAGAUCAAAAAAGCUGUAUGGAUUCUCCUUUUCAAGUCCCUGAGACAAGUAAACUUGAAGCUCAUUUAAAUGGGAUGUUUCAUCAUAAUUAUCACCCUGAGAACCUCGUAACUCCGUCCAAGAUUUAAGAGUUGUUUAAGCCCGCAUCUCUUUUAGACGAUUGUGAGUUAGACGAAGUCGGGGUUGGUAUAUUUGGCCUAGCAUGCUCUAAGGCAAGUUGAUAAGCAUUAUAAAUUGUUUGAGCAUUAAUUUUAACAUAUGCUUUUGUAUCUACAAGUGUAGCAACUUCCUCGUUGAACGAUCCAAAGCCUUAUAAAUAUUUGAAUACUAAAAUUGAGGACCUCCCACUUUCAUUGUAGGAUUUAACAUUGCAGCAACACAAAAAAUAGGAGGGAUAGGAAAGAAAUAUAUUUUAAAUUUUUGUUUCAUUUCAUUUAUAGCAAGCUCAUAAAUAUCCCCACCCUAGCCAACCAUCGCCAAAUUCAACAAACAAAUUAGCUAGUGCGGCAAUAUAAACUAAACAGUUUGAAAUAAUAGGAUAAUAUUGCCCAUAAAAUGCAUUUGUAGCAACUUGAAAAUGUUCUAAUAAAUCUAAAACAAUUUUAACAUUCGUCCAAUCUUGGGUAGUAAGCAUUUCAUCAUCAUCCUCACCGCCUACCCGAGAAUUAAACGUUGCAUUAAUUGGGUUUCUAUAUUCAUACACUACUACUAAACUUUCGUACAUGUAAGUCCACCUAGUCGGGCAAGGUUUAGGAACCUUUCUUUCUCUAGUGCAACUACUAAACUUUCGUACAUACAAUUCCAUCUAGUGGGGCAAGGGUUUAGGAACCUUUCUUUCUCUAAGGCCAUAUUCAUCACAAUUCUUUAAAAUACUCUCUAAGUCUAGUUCUACGGUUUGAAUAAAAAAUCCAAUUAAGAGCCAUUCGAACCUUUUCAAUUUCUAUGUUUAAAAUUCGCAUACCAUCUCCGACAAUUAAAUGAUAAAUAUGACAAAUACAUCUAACAUAAUAAAUAUUAGUAAAUGCAGGAUUUAAGCAUGCCUAUAGCACUAGUGUUACUAGAAGCAUUAUCCAUAGAAAUUGCCAUUAUUUUCUCGCUAAAGCAAAAAUAUCUACAAAUAUCUGAAACAGUGUUAGCUAUAAACUUACAUGUGUGACGUGAAUUAAUUAUUCUAUACGCAAUUAUACGUUUUNNNNNNNNNNNNNNNNNNNNNNNNNNNNNNNNNNNNNNNNNNNNNNNNNNNNNNNNNNNNNNNNNNNNNNNNNNNNNNNNNNNNNNNCAGUUAGAUAAUCACAAUCAUUACCACUUCUACCAAUAUCAGUAGUAAUAGAAAUUCGAUUAGGUAUAUGAGUAAAUAAAUAGCACAAAUAUUGUUCACAUUCAUGUUUGAAUUUAUAAAUAUUUGCCUUAACUAUUGCGCGAGACUAAUCUUUAUAAGUAGGAUUAAAAACUCUUCUAAUAUAAUGAACCCAAUUAGGAUUAGAAGCAANNNNNNNNNNNNNUUAAGAACUCUUCUAAUAUAAUGAACCCAAUUAGAAUUAGAAGCAAAAGUAUAAGGUAAGCACAUAACAGUAAUCGUCUUUGCUAAUUCUUCACGAUCUAAAUACCUCCGGUGACAGUGUUAAUUCCUGGUUGAACUGGAUUUGAACCUGUACUAGGGUUAACCGCAGAAUCUACACUUGUCCCCUCUUGCUGCGCUUGCUUUUGCAAAAAUCUAGCCUUAUCUCUAGGGUGUGUUUUUAUGUGCCUAGUCAAACUACCCGUGCCACUACAGUCUCUAGUAAAUUUAUGAACCAGUAAUUUCCCACAAGUUUUACACUUAGCCUUAUUUCGUUCUCUUACUUGAGUAAAAAAAUCCAAACUAACGAUGUUUCUUGACGUUUAGCAGGUUGUCUAUUAAAAGUUGGAGUUUCUACAGGUGGG
Molecule: long non-coding RNA, 8844 nt
Filed under: Nicotiana benthamiana
Lineage: Eukaryota; Viridiplantae; Streptophyta; Magnoliopsida; Solanales; Solanaceae
Description: long non-coding RNA (NBEN_LNC019416)
Source: RNAcentral